Molecule: long non-coding RNA, 24861 nt
Filed under: Populus trichocarpa (black cottonwood)
Lineage: Eukaryota; Viridiplantae; Streptophyta; Magnoliopsida; Malpighiales; Salicaceae
Description: long non-coding RNA (PTRI_LNC002684)
Source: RNAcentral
CAACUUGGCUUAAGGCCCUCACUUUUGCUAUUCUUACACGAUCCCGUUUAAGUGGUUCAACAACUAGUUCUUUACUUACCAAGAUGCCACAUGACUGUGUUCCUUUUUUGGAAUAUCACCUUGCUCGGAACCCAAGUAAUCGGGACUUGGCAAUUCCUCUGCUAUCUACUCAUGUUCCUUACAGUUGUUUACCUAAAUCUAUCAUUUCUUCUAGUUGCAAGAUUAUUUACAUUUGCAGGGACGCAAAGGAUGCUUUUGUUUCUUUGUGGUGCUUUGUUUCCGCGCAUCAAAUGUCGAAAAAUGUUGAACCUCUUCCUCUGGAAGAGGCCUUUGAGAUGUUCUGCAAUGGAAUUUCAAUCUUGGGACCAUAUUGGGACCAUGUUUUAGGGUAUUGGAGAGCAAGCUUAGAGUUCCCUGAGAAGAUAUUGUUCUUGACAUACGAGGAAAUUAAGAAAGACACCGCUGCUCAUGUUAAGAAACUAGCUGAGUUCAUGGGUUGUUCUUUCACCUUAGAGGAAGAGGAGGAAGGGGAGGUGCAAGAGAUAAUAAGCAUGUGUAGUUUUGAGAAGUUGAGCAACUUGGAGGUGAAUAAAAAUGGGAAGCACCGUCUAGACACAUCAAUUGCUAUUCAAAAUAGUUUAUACUUCAGGAAAGGUGAGAUAGGCGACUGGGCAAAUCACUUGACACCUGAAAUGGGAGCGCGUCUAGAUGACAUAAUGGAGCGGAAGCUCAAGGGUUCAGGCUUGAAGCUGCCCAGGUGACCGUGCCUGGGGUCCCAUUUGCUUAUGAUUAUUGCCGAAGUGGGUUCAUCAAAAGAUGUUAUCAGCAUGUCGUGAAACAGCAACGUGUAUCCCAAUAAAUACCCUCUCUGUUCAUAGCAAGUAUUCACAUUUUGUGAAUCUUCCAUGUGAAUAAGCAAUAUUCUUUUGUGAAUCUGUGUUUGUGACUUUCAUUGAUUUCCUUGCAUGUUUGUAAGAAUUCAAAAUGGGAUUCGUUUUUUUUUUUUUUAACACAAGUGCAUGCAUUCCAUUCAUCAGUUUGAUAAAAAAUAAAUUUACUCUAAUAUAUAAUAUUAGAGUGUUUUCUUCACAGAAAUUGCAGUGUGUUUUUCUUCACAGCUAUACAUGUUUGAAAAGAACCGAGACAGCCAUACAUGAGGGCGGAGCAAAGACCAACCGAGACAACCAUCCAUUAAGAUUGUUGAAUUGCAGAUCAAAUGAACGUAGGAGAACUCGUGUUUUCCACUCCUAAAAUAAGCCCAGUUGCCGGCUUCAUUUGCAACAGAGACACAUAAAGAAUCUGAAAGCAGUUUUUAUGCACUAUCAGCAAAAUAAUUUGACCAGUCAGAAUGAUGUUUUCCCCCUUACUAGGCUCAGAUCACAAUCCUUCUUACUUCAAACAAGUCUUUUGGAACCGAUAUGUCGAGGGAUGGCUUGAUUUAUACCGGAGAUUUUGAUGGAAACUUAAAGAAGCGUGGCUUAAUUAUACCUUGGAUGCGCAAAUUGAUUACAGGGAAAAAAUGACAGAAAGUGAGUUGCAGGGAAUGAAAAAGGCAUUAGUAAACUCAACACCUUUCAGGGCAUCGUUCCUUGGUUUACUCCCUUCUAUUUCUUAUUUUGUUUUUCCUGCCAUUGUCUAAUGUUUUUCUAACUCGCAGUCUGGUCUCUGCAGAGAAUGAGAAAGCAAAAACUCUUUAAGAGAAGAUAUUCUCCGGCGAUGGCAUCAACUAAGUGCGUGUUUGGCGCUCCGGCUAUGUUUACAGAAAAAACAUCGUGGUCAUGUUUUUGGUUACAGUCUAAACAUAAUUAUCUGUUUGUGGACCCGUUAUCAUUUGCUUUUAAACCGCAAGAUAACCAAAAACAACUUCAAGCUGCCUUCUGUGUUGAGUUGCAAACUUUAUAAACAAAGGCCACAAGAAAAAGAGCAGAAACAUAGCAGUGAAUAAUGAACAGUGGAGAGCAGCUCCCUCUGACCACCGGCAUCCGCCGUUUUCACCGCCAACCACUGCUCAUCCUCUUCCCCUUCUCUUUCUCCUUCUUCUUUGUCUUCUGCAUUGUCCACUGUUCACGUUGCAUGUGAACAGUGGAGAGCAGCUCACCACCGGCCUCCGCUGUUUCUACCGCCAGUCACUGCUCUUCCUCUUCCCCUUCCCCUUCCCCUUCUUCUUCUACAUUCUCCACUGUUCACGUGAACAGUGGAGAGCGUCUCCACUAUUCAUGGCCGGAUUGGGUCUGGCCCAAACCUAAAUGCAUUGGACCGGGUCCAACCUAAAUGCAUUGGACCGGGUCCAAUCAAGUAAAAUAAAAAAAUCUAAAAAUAUUUCUUAGAUAUUGUGUUUUAUUUGAAAAACUAGUGUUUAAAAUUAUUCAAUGACACUACAUAAUUAUAUUAGAAGGAGAUCGCAUGAUGACGUAGCAUUUGCAGAAUUUGAUUGCAAUCCCAAUUUUAUUCCUAAUGAUAUUUUACCUGAUGUGAUGAUAUUUUACCUGAUGUUGGUGCACGUUCAAGAAGCCAUGAAAACUGUAGUUUUUGUCGGAUGGAUUUCGUACGUGAUUGAAUUGCAAAUAAUUUAAUGAAACAAUAAAAAAUACUUUAUAUAAAGUAUUAUUUAUUUCAUGAUGUAAUAGCAGUAGUUAAAUCUAUAAUAUUCCAAUUAAAAACCAUCAAUAUUAAUAUAUAUAUGUUUUUUUUAAUUAUUUUAUAACCUCAAUUUGAAAAACAUUCUUUAAACCAAACACAUUAAACUACUUUUUGUUCAACCUCAAUUUCAACCACAAUUUUAACCAAAUAUAUAUUUUUUCAAAUCAACCUCAACUAAAAAUACUUUGUAUAAAACAACUUUUUUAAACUACAAUCAUAACAGGUAUCACAAUACCAAAGACACACAAAGCUGUACUGAUAAGCAAGUUAAAGUGCCACCAUUGAUUUAGGAUCUGCUUUAUAUCUUAUAAGGUGAAAGUAAAACACAAGGAAAUGCAUGCAUGCACACCACUAAUCUUUGAUUCUGGCGAGAACAGUGAUGACUACACACACAACCAUAUAGAAUUACAUUCCAAGAUGAAGAAAUUAAUAACAGAGCAGUGCUAUAAAGCUAAAUGGGAGAACCAGAGAUUAAUAAGCAAUGCUGAAAAUUUUAUCAUGCAUAAGAUGAGAGAAGCAUAGGACAUAUUUUAUCAAAUCUAUAGUUUUUCUUUAAUAAUAAUAAUAUUUUUAAAAAAUUUAAUAAUAAUAAUAAUAAUAAUAAAAACUCAUGUUCUUUGAUUCUGACUUCCCUUACCAGACUGAAGUUACCACAGUCAGACCCAAGUAACUUAGGUGUGACGCUCCUGUUAGACUCAAGUUAUUUGGGUAUGAUAUCUCAUGCUGGACUCAUAGUAUUCAAGAUCAAAGGUGUUGAUAUCUAACAAUCAUACCUCACCCAAGCCCUAAGAUGUGAUUGCUUUUCUAGACCAGAGCGCAAGGCACCAAGACACUAAGAUACUAUUCACCAUAAGUCAAGUCAAUGAACCAAUUAAUUGAUUUUAAAGAUCAAGUUUUUUUUUUAAAUAGAGAAACAAAACUUUUAUUAACAUUGAAAUAACUCCUAAAAUUUUAAUAAAAUUAAUUUGAAGUAAAAAUAAUAUUAGAAAAAUAUUUAGAAGCACUUUUUUAUUGUAAAAUCAAACACACUAAAAUCAUGUAGAUUUUCAUUUAGACACUAAAAUUCAAGAAGAAAUUAAGUUCACACAGUACUAUUAAUUCAAUCGAUGAAGGAUUAGUCCCAACUACUUUAGGGCCACCAUUGACAUUGAUUACUUUGAAUAAUUUUAAUUUAUAGGCAUAAAAAAUUAAUACAUAUCUUUAAGAGGAUCAAUUUUAGAUUCUCUCUCUCUCUCUCUCUAUUUUUUUUUUGGUUUUCAAAUAUUUGACAUUUUCGUUUAGAUAAGCUCUAGUGUGUGUUUUUUUUAGAUUAUUUUAAAUCAUGUUUCUUGAAAUGUCAAAAACAUUUCAUGGAUUAAUUUAACUUAAUAACGCCAAAGAAUUAGGAAUUAAAACUGAUAAUUUCCACCAAGUAAGAGUACCUAAUUGAAAAUUUACUUUCUUAUCAUUUACCUCAAUUAAGCGGAAGCAUGAUCAUGAGAAGGGAUUUGGGAGGCACUUAGAUUAGGCUCUUCUCUAGUCUUGAGAAGCAGAACCAAUAGAGACGUGAUUGCGCACUCCCUGAGCUAUAUAGUAAGUGGCUGCAAACAAAUUGUCAGCACCAAUUCAGGUCCGGAAAAUUAAAGCAUUGAAGCAUAAAAGGUGACCUAACCUGAUUAAGCAAAUUACUACUUAUUCCAGCAUCACCUAGGAGUGAGACAGCCAGCCCUCCAGUGUCUACAUGGUAUGGGAAUAAUUCCUUCAAGAACGCAGAGAAAAUUAUACUUGCAAUACAACUAUAAACGAGAUGGUACAGUGCGGAAGGCUAUAAACGAGAUGGUACAGUGUGGAAGGCAAGAUGUUAAAUAUGAUCAGGACAAAAAAAUAAAUAAAGAAAGAAAGAGUGUUUAUUUCACAAUGAUCGAUAUGAUGCUUCUUUCCAUGUGGAAUCUUCGUCAAAGACUUGUUGAAAAUGCCAAAUUGUGAUCCACUUUUGGCUGUGUCAAAUGCAUGGGUGGGGUUUCACACAGAGCUAUUACCCCUUGUGUAAACUCAACGCCAGUUUUCAUGAGUUCUUUGGGAUUCUAACAUAGUAAAAAAAAAUGAUAAAAUAACGAAGUGUAAAGAAUAUGUAGUGAAAUAGAUAUUUGUAAUUAAUCAGUUGCAAUUAUUAUAUGCUCGCUCUCUCAGAUUUACUGGACAGAAGAUUUAUUAAAAAGAGAUGAGAAAAUAAUUAAAAGAGAAAGAAAAGAAAAAAAAAACUUCAAGGUAUAUCAAAACUCUGAUAAUAAUAUUAUUGGUAUUGUUGAAACAAAUCUAAAAAUAUCAAUAAAGAUCACCAAUAAUGAUCAUAGUAGGUCAUACGAGUGACCGAGAUAAAUGAGUCUCAAUACUUUUAAACAGCUCGUAUAAUCUAUUUUAUUUAUUAUUUAUUUUUUUUUAUGUUGUUAAAUUCAUCUUAUAAUGAUGCCGAUAAUGUUAUCAUUAUAAUUUCAAUGUAUUUCUAUUAUUAUUAUUUUUUGUUUUGCUCUCUCUCCUCUCUUUCCUUAUAAUUUAUGAAGAGUUAGAGAGGGGAAAAAAAAACCCUAGUCUUCCACUUUAAUCUGGCUGAAUACUAUAUUUUUCCUUAAUUAUUCACUACUUUGUCAAUGCAAACUAUAUUUUUCCUUAAAUAAGAUCUAAUCCACCAGCGGAUAGGUGAUCAAGAAUAUUAAAUUAGUGUAAAACUUGAUUUAAUUCAACAUUAUAAAUUCGAGGUGCUAUAAUAAUGUGAAAAAAAAGAAUAAAAAAACUAGAUUCAUCAUCAUCAUUAUUAUAUUAGUAUAAUAAUGUUUGUCACUUUGUUGUAUUAUUUUUUAAUUGUUUAGUUGUUUACUAUAUGUUAAAAUUUCAAGAUCUUCAAAGAUUGGUAAGAUCUUAAGGAUCUAGAGUUACUAUGGGACCGUCUUUAUUUUCCUAUUUGGAUUUUUUUUAUUUAUAUUAAGAAUUUAAAUUUAAUUAGUAUUUUAUUAUUUAAAAAUUCUAACGGUAAAUUGAUUCUAUUAGUCAGGCUAAUUUUAAGUAUAAAUUAUUUUUUUAUACAAAAUUUUAAAUUUAGAAUUAAUAUAAAUAAAAAUGUUUAGUUUAUUUUUUAAAGUGUUUUUGUUUAAAAAUACAUCAAAAUAAUAUAUUUUUAAAUUUUUUUUAUUAUUCAUCUUUUACAUCAAAACAUUUAAAAAACAUAAAAAAAAACAAUUAGAAAACGCAAGAUUGCAUCAAUGCUAAAUGCAAUCUCUCUCUCUCUCUCUCUCUCUCUCUCUCUCUCACACACACACACACACACACACACACACACACACACACGAUCCACCUCUGGUGUCAAAUGCAUAGUGAUGUUCCACAGCGAGCCACUAUCUAUUAUGUAAAAUCUCAACAAGUGAGAAAUGUCAUAGAUCAUUUGGUCUAAUUUACGGGGACAGAGUUGUGGAGUUGGGGGCUGUAAAUAUUCCUCAAAAGAUCGAGUCUUAAGGUCUCGGAACUAUUAUAUGACGGGGGAUAAAAAAACAAAUACUACGAGGGUCGAAAUAAAUAUUUUUUACUGGUUGAUGGUAUCCACAAAUGCUACGAGCAAUAAUAAAAUUUUUUGGAUUGAAUAAUCAGUUAAUUAAUUAGUUUUAAUAAUUUUUUUUAUUUUUCUUAACUAAAGUGGUUAAAAGCGCUUAUAUUUAUCAUUGAUAGGUCAAAGCUACUCGUUAAUACAUUUAAAAGAUUUUUUUUGAUGGAGGUAAAGACUUUCCGAUAUUUAAAUAAAUAAUUUUUUAGAAAGAAAAAAUAAAUGAAUAUUCUAUAGAGAGAUACUCUGAAAAUACAAAUGCACAAGAGAAUUGGAGAUUGUGAACCUUUGUUCUGAAGAUUUUAUGAUGUAUUUAUAACUUAUAAGUUUUGUCCUUUUGUGAAAAUAAGGGUUUGGAGUGUAAUUACCCUGAUAACAUUUAAUGAGGAAUAAAUAUCCCUUGCAUAAUGGGAAUAUGGUGGGUCCUCGAAUGGUUUUUAUACACCUAAAAAGCUAUAGGGAGAUUAGAGUUUAAGACGUCAAGUGUAGCUGAGCCUAUAGAGAUCAAGUUCUUUCCUGAGAUUAGAUCGAAGAGAGGUUGGUCAUUCUCCUAGAUAUGCCAAUGGAGAAUGAUCAAUAUUUUGGACUUGGUUGGCUGCAAAAUCCAAGUACCUUGAGCCUGAUAUGCGUGUCAAAUCCACCCUAUCUUGAAAUUGGAGCACUACCAAGUCCUAGCGCCUUGGAUCUGACAUGCAUGCCAGAUCCAUGCUACGUUGGACUUGGUGCACUAUCAAGUCCAAACACCUUGGGUCUAGUGUGCGUGUUAGACCCACAUUAUAUUGGGUUUGACGCAUUACUAUACAUGUCCAAGCACCUUGAACUUGAUUGAUUGUCAAGUCCAUGCAUUAUAGAUUUGAUAUAUGUGUCAGAUCCAUAUUACCUUAAGCUUGACGCACUAUUAAGUUAAAGUGUCUUGAAUUUAGAAUUUCUCAGGAUCCAUAAAUUUUAAAGAACCAAACAAAAACUAAAUAAAAAAUUGACUCAUCACUAAUCUAUAAAUACUAUCUACAUAAUGGCCUUAGUUGAUAACUUCUACCACCCACUGCACUUACUUCAAUAAUGAAAAAUAUUUUUUCCUUUUAAUGGAAAAGACAUUUUAACUCCAUCUUCAAUUACUUUACAUAAAUGUUUCCUUCUUUUUUAGAUAUUGGGUUUAGAAAACACAAUCAUGCUAAAAAUUUAUUAUCAACUAUAAAAUGUAUUUUUUUUAUAUUUUAUAUAUAUUUUUUAAUUAUUUUUUAUAUUUUCAUAUUGUUUUGAUGUGCUAAUAUUAAAAUUAAAUUUUUAAAAAUAAAAAAUAUUAUUUUAAUAUAUUUUUAAAUUAAAAAUAUUUUAAAAAAUAACCGCUAACACAAUAACAAACAAGAUUUAAAUAAAAAAAAUUAUAAUUACAUCAGCAAUCAAGAAUACUAAAAUAGUGUAAAUUUUGACUUAAUUCAAUUAUGAGAAUUGGGGGCAGCGUAACAAUUUGAAAUAAAAUGGCAGAAAAGGAGGGCAAACAGUACAAAUACCUUGAAUAAUGGUGACCAAAUAUUUGUAAUUUGAGACAUCUCGUUCUCGCAAGGAAAUAGUUAAGAGUGCCAAUAAUUAAUCUGCUCUCAACUUGCUUCAAAUAGCUGCCAUGUCCACAUAUUCAAGAAACAAAUAUUUCCACUAAAGGUUUAUAUGGUCGUUAAUUUCAGGAUCUGUGGGAUUAGUCGAGCUGCGCGCAAGCUAACCCGAACACCCACAUUAAACUAAAAAAAAAAAUAUUUUUUACUAGUCUAGAAAUGCUAUCUCCUAAAUUGUUUAUUGUUCUAUGAUUCAACCAUCCUGUUUUUUAUAAAAAUAUUGAUUUUUUCAUAAAUUUUUUUAGUAUUUUUAAAUUAUUUUAAUGUAUAAAUAUAAAAAUAAUUUUUAAAAACUUUAUUUUAAUAUAUAUAUUUUAAAAAUUUCUUUAAAAAAUAAUUAUCACCGCAUUUCCAAACUUCACAUCCCUGUAUUAAUGGAUUGUGUUGUCCCUGUAUUAAUGGAUUGUGUUGUGGGCUCCACGCCAUUUAAAGCUUGUGAGAGAAACUACACCUAUAAACUGAAACCACACGAUAACACUAAAGAUUUGCUAAUUCGGGAGUGUUUGUUUUUAUAUAUAAAAGUAUUUUUAAAAAAAGUUAAUUUUUUAAAAUUAAUUUUUUAAUAGUUUUAUAUUAUUUUAAUGUAUUAAUAUUAAAAAUAAUUUUUAAAAUAUAAAUUUUUUAUUUAAUAUAUUUUUUUUAAAAUAUAAAAAUACUCUUGAAAACAGCGGUUAUAAAAUACUCUUAAAAAAUAAAUAAAAAUACUCUUGAAAACAGCGGCUAUAACCUUCCCAAACUUCACAUCCCCAAAUUAUUAAGAGGCCGUUUGUUUGCGUGGUUGCUUCUGCGUUUGAAGCAACCACAGCAAACAUAAUGUUUGGUAAUAUUAAAAAUGCUAAAAAUGACCGGUGGGACCCAUGCCAAUUCACGUUUUGAACGCGACAUUGGUGAAGCAGCUCGUGACUGCUUUUUUAAAUUUUGUAUUUGCGUGCACAGUGCAAUUCACUUGCACUGUGCACGCCAACAGUGUAAUUCACUUGCAUUGUUCGGGUGAUUUUUUUUAUUUUUUUAUUUAGUGUGUAUAGUUUUUUUAUAUAUAUUUUUUAAAAAAACUAGUUUUACAUUGUCAUGUAAACAAUAUUUUUUUUCCCGAAAAACUAGUAUAGAGCGAAUUAAAUUCACUCGCACUGUAAUAUCAAAUUAAUUUUAUUCCUAAUAAUAUUUUAUCUAAUUUUAUUGCAUGCUCAAAAAAUUAUAGAAACUGUAGUUCUUGUCGAAUGAAUUUUGUACGUAAUGGAAUUGUAGAUGGUUUAAUGGCAUAAUAAAAAAUAUUUUAUAUAAAGUAUUAUUUAUUUCAUGAAGUAAUAGUAAUAGUUAAAUCUACAAUAUUUAAAUUAAAAAUCAUCAAUUUUAAUAUAUAUUUUUUAAAAUUAUUUUAUAACUUUAAUUUCAAAAGCAUUCUUAACCAAACAUAUUAAACUACUUUUUAUUUAACCUCAAUUUCAACCACAAUUUUAACCAAACACCUAUUUUUUCAAACCAACCUCAAUUAAAAGUACUUUUUAUAAAAUAACUUUUUUCAAACCACAACUACAACAGCUACAGCAAUACCAAACACACUCUAAAUUGCAGACGUUUGGCAGUGUGUUCAAAAACAUAUUUUUAAAAAAAAUUGAUUUUUUUUAUUUUAAAUUAAUAUAUUUUUAAUAUUUUUAAAUUAUUUUGAUGUAAAUCUUAAAAAUAAUUUUUAAAAACUAAAAAAAUAUUAUUAACAUAUUUUUUUAAAUAAAAAAUAUUUUAAAAAAUAACCUCAGCUAUUCACACACAGCCGGAAAGAAGAGAAACCACACAAUCACGCUAAAGAUUUGCUAUCGAAUAUAAUAUGACAUAAAACCCAAUUGCAUCAGCGGGCAUGUGAUCAAUAAUAUUAAAAUAAGGUAAUAGUUGAUGGGGCCACAAAUUAAACCAGCUCUCAACUCGCUACAAAUAGCUGCAAUGGCCUUUCAUUCUACGUUAUAUUUUCAUUUUUUACUUUCAUGGAAUCCUCUUUGCCUUCCACCCAAAUCUUGGAUUCUGGUGACAGUGCAGAGAGGAAAAAUGAAGCUAAAAAUUACAAUGAAGUGAUGUCCACCUUUCCGAAAGUUAAAGGCUUGAAUGGGUAUGAUUAUUACCUGUACCAAGGCUUUUGGUACGCUCCCUUCUUCUUGGAAGGACUCAUGUCUGUUCAAGAGGGCUUCAAUCCUCAAUCCACUGAUAUAUUUGUCGCCAGUUUUCCAAAAACUGGCACAACUUGGCUUAAGGCCCUCACUUUUGCUAUUGUCACACGAUCCCGUUUAAGUGGUUCAACAACUAGUUCUUUACUUACCAAGAUGCCACAUGACUGUGUUCCUUUUUUGGAAUAUGACCUUGCUCAAAACCCCAGUAAUCGGGACUUGGCAAUUCCUCUGGUAUCUACUCAUGUUCCUUACACUUGUUUACCUAAAUCUAUCAUUUCUUCUAGUUGCAAGAUUAUUUACAUUUGCAGGGACGCAAAGGAUGCUUUUGUUUCUUUGUGGUACUUUCUUGCCAGGCUGCAAAUGUCGAAAAAUGUUGAACCUCUUCCUCUGGAAGGGGCAUUUGAGUUGUUUUGCAAUGGAAUUGCAAAUUUUGGACCAUAUUGGGACCAUGUUUUAGGGUAUUGGAGAGCAAGCUUCGAGUUCCCUGAGAAGAUAUUGUUCUUGACAUAUGAGGAAAUGAAGCAAGACACAGCUGCUCAUGUUAAGAAAUUAGCUGAGUUCAUGGGUUGUUCUUUCACCUUAGAGGAAGAGGAGGGAGGGGAGGUGCAAAAGAUAAUAAGCAUGUGUAGUUUUGAGAAGUUGAGCAGCUUGGAGGUCAAUAAAAAUGGGAAGCACCGUCCGGACACAUCACUUGCUAUUCAAAACAGUGUAUACUUCAGGAGAGGUGAGAUAGGCGACUGGGCAAAUCACUUGACACCUGAAAUGGGAGCACGUCUAGAUGACAUAAUGGAGCAGAAACUCAAGGGUUCAGGCUUGAAGCUGCCCAGGUGACUGUGCCUAGGGUCCCAUUUGCUUAUGAUUAUUGCCCAAGCGGGUUCAUCAAAAGCUGUUAUCAACAUCUCGUGAAACAGAAACUGUGUAUCCCAAUAAAUACCCUCUUUGUUCAUCUCUUGUAUUUCCUAUCAAGUAUUCACAUUUUGUGAAUCAUCCAUGUCAAUAAGCAAUGUUCUUUUGUGAAUCUGUGUUUGUGACUUUCAUUGAUUUCCUUGCAUGCUUGUAAGAAUUCAAAAUGGGAUUCGUUUUUUUAUUUAUUUAUUUAACACAAGUGCAUGCAUUCCAUUAAUCAGUUGGAUAAAAAAUAAAUUUACUCUAAUAUAUAAUAUUAGAGUGUUUUCUUCACAGAAAUUGCAGUGUGUUUUCUUCACAGUUAUACAUGUUUUAAAAGAACCGAGACAACCCAUACAUGAGGGCGGAGCAAAGACCAACCGAGACAACCAUCCAUUAAGAUUGUUGAAUUGCAGAUCAAAUGAACGUAGGCGGCACAUCUGCUGGAAGGAUCUCGAAAUGCCUUGUAAUUGGUUAAAAUAAAGAUCAAGAUCUGUAGGAGAACUCGUGUUUUCCACUCCUAAAAUAAGCCCAGUUGCCGGCUUCAUGUGCAACAGAGGCACAUAGAGAAUCUGAAAGCAGUUUUUAUGCACUAUCAGCAGAAUAAUUUGAUCAGUCAGAAUGAAAACCCCCCCCCCCAGGCUCACAAAUCUUCUUACUUCAAACAAAUCUUUUGGAACCGAUAUAUAUGUCGAGUGAUGGCUUGAUUUAUACCGGAGAUUGUGUUGGAAAAUUAAAGAAGCAUGGCUUAAUUUGUACCUUGGAUGCGCAAAUUGAUUACAGGGAAAAAAUGACAGAAAGUGAGUUGCAGGGAAUGAAAAAGGCAUUAGUAAACUCAACACCUUUCAGGGUAUCGUUCCUUGGUUUGCUCCCUUUUAUUUCUUAUUUUGUUUUUCCUGCCAUUGUCUAAUGUUUUUCUAACUCGCAGUCUGGUCUCUGCAGAGAAUGAGAAAGCACAAACUCUUUAAGAGAAGAUAUUCUCCGGCAAUGGCAUCAAACAGAAAAGUCCGACGUCAACUAAGUGAGUGUAUAGCGUUGCUGCUGUGUUUACAGAAAAACACCAUUGUCAUGUGUUUGGUUACGGUCUAAACAUAAUUUUUUAUCGGUGAGACCCAUUACCAUUUGCAUUUAAACCGCAAGAUAACCAGAAGCAACUUUAAGCUGCGUUUUGUUUUGAGUUGCAAAUUGUGUUAUAAAUAGAGGCCACAAGAAAAAGAGCAGAAACAGAGCAGUGAAUAGUGAUUAGUGGAGAGCAACUCCCUCUCACCACUGACCUCCGCCAGCCACUGCUUUUUCUCUUCUCCUUCUCUUCUCGUUCUCCUUCGUCUUCUGCAUUCUCUACUGUUCACGUGAACAAUGGAGAGUGGAGAGCAGCUCACCAUCAACCCCUGCUGUUUCCACCGCCAGCCACUGCUCUUCCUCUUCCCCUUCUCCUUCGUCUUUUACGUUCUCCACUGUUAAUGUGAACAGUGGAGAGCAGCUCACCACCGGCCUUCACUAUUUCCACUGCCAGCCACUGCUCUUCCUCUUCCCCUUCCCCUUCUCCUUCCCCUUCUCCUUCUCAUUCAUCUUCUGCAUUCUCCACUGUUCAUGGCCGGACUGGGCCUAGCCCAAACCUAAAUGUAUUUGACUGGGUCCGACCCAGUAAAAUAAAAAAAAAUCCAAAUUUUUUUUCUUAAAUAUUGUGUUUUAUUUGAAAAACUAGUGUUUAAAAUUAUUCAAUGACACUACAUAAUUAUAUUAGAAGGAGAUCGCACGAUGACGUAGCAUGUGCAGAAUUUGAUUGCAAUCCUAAUUUUUUUCCUAAUGAUAUUUUACAUGAUGUAAUGAUAUCUUACCUGAUGUUGGUGCAAGUUCAGGAAGCCAUGGAAACUGUAGUUCUUGUCGGAUGGAUUUCGUAUAUGAUUGAAUUGCAAAUAGUUUAAUGGAACAAUAAAAAAUACUUUAUAUAAAGUAUUGUUUAUUUCAUGAUGUAAUAGCAGUAGUUAAAUCUAUAAUAUUUCAAUUAAAAACCAUCAAUAUUAAUAUAUGUCUUUUUUAGUUAUUUUAUAACCUCAAUUUGAAAAGUAUUCUUUAACCAAACACAUUAAACUACUUUUUGUUCAACCUCAAUUUCAACCACAGUUUUAACCAAACAUAUAUUUUUCCAAACUAAUCUAAACUAAAAGUAUUUUUUAUAAAAACAAUUUUUUUCAAACCACAACAGCUACCACAAUACCAAACACACACAAAAAAAACUGUACUGAUAAGUAAGUUACAAUGCCACCACUGAUUUAGGAUCUGCUUUAGAUCUUAUAAGGUGAAAGUUGAAAGCUAGCAAGAAUCGUCACAGAGAUGAACAGAGAAGUGAAUAGAAUUAGAGGGAGAUACUGCAAUGCAGAGGAAGAAGAAAAACAUUUCUGUGUAUAUUCACUUAUAUUUUUUUACCAGCGCUGUUACAUUCAUUUUAUAUGAACCAAGAUGAGAAGCUUGUUUACGUAAUCUAAUCAACAGUAACAGACUUUGUUAACUGUCUAACAAUAUUAACAAACUUUCUAACCAUUGUAUUCUCUAUUCUCUUGACAGGUGGCAGAAGCAGAGCCUUUGAUAUCUUGACAUUCCCCCUCAAUCACAAGCGUGAAGGAACCAAGCAUAAGAUUGGAACAGUGACGCCGAAAUAAAGGAGUGGAAAGACCUUUAGUUAGGAUAUUAGCAAAUUGAUCGGUAGAAGAGACAUGUUGAACCAACAAAUCACCUUUGACAACACGUUCUCAAACAAAAUGAUAAUCAAUUUGGAGAUGCUUCAUUCUGGAAUGGAAGACUGGAUUGGAAGCAAGGGAAAUAGUUGAGAUAUUGUCAUAAUGAAUUAACGGAGGGAUAUGUAAAGGAAUGUGAAUGUCACAGAGCAGUUGGCGAAUCCAGGCAAGUUUGGCAGCAGCAAUUGCUAGAGCCCGAUACUCAACCUCAGUAGAUGAUCGAGAAACAAUAUGUUGUUUCUUAGAAGCCCAAGAAAUAGGACUGGAGCCGAGGAAAACAAUAGAGCCAGAGACAGAACGUCGAUCAUUGGGAUCGCCAACCCAGUCAGCAUCACUAUAAGCUUGUCGAUUAAGAAGACUAGGCUGAAAAUGAAGGCCAAAAUCAAGGGUACCUUUAAGAUACCGCAAGAUUCUUUUGACAGCCACAACAUAAGAAUGCAUGGGAUUAUGCAUAAAUUGACAAGCUCGGUUCAUAGAGAAAGCAAUAUCGAGCCUGGUGAACGUGAGAUACUGCAAUGCGCCAACUAUGCUCCGAUAUUGUUGUGGAUGAGAGUAGGCUUAGCCAUCAUCUUUGAGCAAAUGAUGAUGAGGAAGACAAGAAGUAUCAAAUGAUUUGGAAUUUUGUAAAUCAACUCUAGCAAGUAAGUCUGUGAUAUAACUUAUCUAGGACACAAACAAACCAGAAGGGAGAUAAGAGAUUUGCAAUCCCAAAAAAUAAUUCAACUUACCGGUAUCCUUCAUAUCAAAUUUCUGAGUCAAGGCAGCAAUGACUGAAGAAAGAAGAGAAUAAUGACUGCUAGUAAGAAUGAUAUCAUCUAAAUAGAGUAGCAAUAUCACAACACUAAGAGAAGAAUGCUGAACAAACAAAGAGGGAUCGACAAGAGAUGCUUGAAACCCCAAACAUGGUAAAAAAACUGGUAAAACGUUCAUUCCAGGCACGAGGAGCCUGUUUAAGGCCAUACAAGGACUUUCUUAGUCUGCAAACAAAGUUAGCAGGAUAAAGCUUACUCAUAAAACCUUGGGGUUGAGUCAUAUAAACCUCCUCAUGAAGAAUACCAUGCAAAAAGGCAUUGGUAACGUCAAGCUACCGUAAGGACCAGUUAAACUGAGCUGCAAGAGUAAGAAUUAAACGAACCAUAGUAGGUUUUAUGACAGGACUGAAAGUUUCAUUAUAGUCAAUUCCUUCCUCUUGAAUGAAACCCUUAGCCACCAAUCGAGCUUUAUGCCUAGCUAUAGAACCAUCCGCAUGCUUCUUGAGUCGGUAGACCCAUUUACAGCCAACAAGAUUCUUAGCAGGUGGGAGAGGCACCAAAUCCUAAGUACCUUAUGCAUGAAGAGCAUCAAUUUCCUCCCACAUAGCAGACUGCCAUUCUGGAAAGGUUGAAGCAGCCUUGAAGGAACUGGGUUCAACCUGAGAAAAAGCAACAGACUAUACAGAGGUAAAGUAAGCCUUUCUUUUGGAAAUACCAUUCUUAAACCUGAUGGUCAUUGGAUGAAGAUUCAUCGGUGAAAGAGGUAAGACCACACACAGAUUCUCAGGUUGGAAGUCAGGAUCAAAUCUAGUGACAAAGAAGCGAUUGGUUUGAAUAAAAAAACAGAAAUACCCUUUAUACUGACCAGCAUACCCCAGAAAAAUACAAGUGGAAGUUUUGGGCUGAAGUUUGUUAGUAUUAUAAGGCUUGAGUAAAGGAAAACAAGCACAACCAAAAAUCCACAAAUGAGUAAUGACCAGUGGAGAACCAUAUAACAGGAAAUAAGGUGAUUUGAGUUGAAGAAUUUGACAGGGCAUUCUAUUAAUCAAAUAAAUAGAAGUAGCACAAGCACGAAACCAAAAUUUUGGAGGUAAAUGGGCAGUUUGUAACAGAGUGAUGGCUGUUUCUAAAAUAUACCUAUGUUUGCGCUCAGCAAGGCCAUUCUGUUUCGGAGUAUAGGGACAGGACAUUUGAUGGACAAUACCCUUGGUAAAGAGGUAAUGUUUGAAUUUAGUACUAAGAUACUCACCACCCCCAUCACUUUGAAAGACUCGAAGAGUAGCAGAAAAUUGAGCAACUAAAAAGGUAUGAAAGUAGGCAAAAAUGGAAUAAACCUCUCCUUUAUUGAUCAUCAGAAAAAACCAAGUAAAUCGAGUACAUUCAUCAAUGAAACUAACAUAAUAUCUGAAACCUUCAACAGAUACAGUGGGAGAAGAACCCCAAACAUCACUAUGUAUGACCUCUCAAGGUUUAACAAAUUUAACUGCGGGAUAGGGAAAAGGAAGUUUAGCAAGUUUACCCUCUAAAAAAGUGGUACAAACGAAUUUGGAUGUGUUUGAAGUGAAAGAAAUCUGGGAUUGAUUUAACAGAGUAGAGGUGACUAUGUUAGAGGGAUGACCAAAACGCUUGUGCCAGAGACUUGUGUUGACCUGUUUACCAAGAUAGCAAACUUGAUUAUUUUGAAAGAGAGAUUAUGAAGGAAACGAAAUGGAGAAAGGAAUAGGAUAUAACCCAGCUCUACACAGUCCCUUGAGAAGGACAUUUCCCAUGAAUUUGUCCUGAAUCCAAAAACCAAAAUCAUCACAAAUAAAUCGACAGUUGUUAUCUUUACACAACUUAUGAACCGAUAAUAAGUGUUGAGAUAGCUUAGGCACAUGCAAAACUUGCUUUAAUUGUAAUGAGCAUUGAUGAACAUCUAAAAUAAAAGAACCAAUAUUAGAAAUGGUCAAACUUGAACCUCCUGUAGUGGUAACAGUAUCAGAUCCUGAGAAAGGUGUAGCCAGAUUGAGUUGAGCCAAAUCAGAAGUCAUAUGUGUUGUGGUGCCAUUAUCAGCCAGCCAUAAUUGUUCAGGAGGGGAAGAAGAUGGAAAAUUGGCAUGCAUAGCACUAAGAUUACUGGAGGGAGGCCUGCCUUGAUAGCUGAAAUUACCUCUAUGAUAACAUUGAACGGCAGAGUGCCCAAAUUUUCAACAAAUUUGACAUUGAAUGGAAGUGGCAAAAGUACUUAGCAGAGUGUGGCGUUGAUAACAAUUAGCAGCUACAUGACCUUUUUUAGUACAAAUUUGACAUGUAGGAAUGUCAAUGCCAGAACCAAGAAUGCCAGGAUUAGAAGUAGGUGGAACCUAAUAAGGGCGUGGACUAGAUUGAUAAUGAUUACGUCCUCUGCCAUAACCCUUAAAAUUAAACCCCUGAUUGCCAAAGUAUCCUCCAGUAGAACCAUGAAAGCUACUGUGAUGACCAUUAAAUCCUCCAUUGAAACCAGAAGGAAAUUAAGAUGGUGGAGCAGACUUGGAGCUAGAAGGAUGAGAAUUAGAGUUACCUUUAUCAAGAGCAAGAGCCUUGCCAGGAGAUAUUUGAUGUUGAGCCAUCACUGCAGGAACAAACAGGGAAGCAGAAUAAGUUUGCUCAAGAAUGGCUUCUUCAGCUAGCAAUUGAGACCGAAAAUCUUUAAGGGAUAACACGUUGUCUCGGUCGCGAACAAUACACCUAAAGGUGUUAUAAUUAGAAGGAAGACCAUUGAGAGCCAAGAUUACAAUAUCAUCAUCUUCAAAAUAAACCCCUGCUACAGAAAGAUGGUCUCGAGCAUCUUUGAUCUUUUACAGAUAUUGAGACACAGAAUCUGAGCCCUUCUUGAUGGUUUGAAGCUCACUUUUCAUCUGAAAAAUAUGUGCCUUAGUAAUUGUGGAAAAUCUAUUCUUCAGUUGAAUCCACAUGUCAUGAGAGCUAACACAUUCAAUAACAUAGGAGAUUGCAGUUGAUGAGAGAGUAGCAAUAAUCAACUGCAUCAAUGUCCGGUCAUACAUUUUCCAAACCUGAUGAUCAUCAGUUUCAACACAUUCAAGGUCAGCAUCUGCAUCAAACCGAUUUGGACACUUUCUUGAUCCAUCAACAAAUCCUAAAAUACCAUAACUCUCAAGUAGAAUAUGCAUAUGAAAAUUCCAGAUGAGAUAAUUUGUGUCAUCCAGCUUGACUGUUACAGCUGUUGAAACUGUAGGAAGUAAACAGGUAAUAGGAGAUUGAACAAUUUAAAGUUGAGAAGUAGUCACCAUUUUAGAGUUCAAGAGAUAGCGAGGAAGAGAAUCACAUACGAUAGGCAUAGUCCCAGAUUUGAGAAGAGAGUUGAAGAAGAAUUUUUCAGUUUGACAAUAUAUCAAAUAGAUGAUAGGUAGAUCAAUUAUUAUGAAAGAAUUGGUUGAUUAAGGCGAUAAUAAUACCAGAAACAGAGAGUAGCAAGAUAUUAGAAGCAGAGAAAUCACAGGAUCACAAGAUAAUAACAAUCCUAAGCUCUGAUACCAUGAAAGCUAGCAAGAAUCAUCACAAAGAUGAACAGAGAAGUGAAUAGAAUUAGAGGGAGAUACUGCAAUGCAGAGGAAGAAGAAAAACAUUUCUGCAUAUAUUCACUUAUAUUUUUACCAACAUUGUUACAUACAUUCAUUUUAUAUGAACCAAGAUGAGAAGCUUGUUUACGUAAUCUAAUCAACAAUAACAGACUUUGUUAACUAUCUAACAAUAUUAACAAACUUUUUAACCAUUAUAUUCUUUAUUCUCUUGACAGGGCAGAAGCAGAGCCUUUGAUAUCUUGACAAAAGUAAAACACAAGGAAAUGCAUGCAUGCACACCACUAAUCUUUGAUUCUGGCGAGAACAGUGAUGACUACACUCUGAACCAAAUAGAAUUACAUUCCGAGAUGAAGAAAUUAAUAACACAGAGCAGUGCUAUAAAGCUACAUGUGAAACCAGAGAUUAAUAAGCAAUGCUGAAAAUUUUAUCAAGCAUAAGACGAGAGAAGCAUAGGACAUAUUUUUCCCACAAUUGAAUAUGUGAAUUGAGCACAGAUUUCCCUGUUGCAAACUGUUCCUAAUUUCUCAAAUGAUUAACUAGAAUACGAGUUGCACUUAAAAUUUUAAAGCAACAUAUAUGCUCUUGAUUUUUAGUGAAUUGCUGAAACAAACAUACAAGCUCGAUCACACCUCUAGAACAGAGUGACAGUUCAUGGUGACCUCAAAGACUGCAUCAAGUCCUCCAAGCUCUCGUAACUUUUCCCUAAAGCCCCCCCCAGUCUUCCUUAAUUACCAUGCCAGAUGUAUCUGAAUGAAUGCAACCCAUACAGUGAAAUGAAUAAGCAAUCAGAAAAGGAGAGAGAGAGAGUGAAAAAAUUUGUCACAAAACUAGAUAAUGGCGACCACAUAUCAAUAAUUCGAGAUAUGACGUGGGGCACUUUCAUCGUGAUUAUUGUUUGUCCAAUAAUGUUGGAUGUAUUAUUUCUUGUUAAGACUUUUUAGGUUGUGAAAAGUCCAAGAUGUAGUAUAAUAAAAUAAAUAUAACCUUUGAUUUUAUCAUUUAUAUUGAGCUGAAAUUUUGACAUACAAUUCUAAAGAUUUUGUGGUUAAAAUUUCAAGAUCUUAAAAAAAAGACCUUUAAAUAAGGAUUUAAAGUUACUAUGAGAUGGUCUUUAUUUACCUAUUUGGUAUUGUUUUUAUUUAUAUUAGGAAUUUUAAUUUAAUUAGUAUUUUAUUAUUAAAAAAUUCUAAUAAUAGAUUGAUUCUAUUAGUUAGGCAAGUUUUAAAUACAAUUUAUUUUUCUAUACAAAAUUUUAUAUCUAGAACAAAUAUAAAUAAAAAUAUUUAGUUUAUUUUUUGUUCGGGUAUUCAUAUUAUUAUUAAGAUUUUUUAAAAAUAUUUAGAGAUUUUUUUUUAUUUCGCUAUUGUGUUAGGACUAUAACCUUAAGGUUUGGAUGUUUGUGAAAGUGGAAGCGGUUACUUUUUAAAAUGUUUUUCACUUAGAAAUGCAUCAAAAUCAUAUAUAUAUUUUUUAUUUUUUAAAAUUAAUUUUUGACAUCAAAACAAUGCAAAAACACCAAAAAAUUAAUUUGAAAAAAAAUCAAAAAUUUUGAAAACCUCGAUCAAAAUGUUGUACCAAACACCCUCUUAGUUUUAUCUUAUUUUUAAAAAAUAAUUCUUGAUAUUAGCAAACAAAACAAUUUAAUAACACAAAAAAAUUAAUUUUAAAAAAUCAAAAUCUUAAAAAACUCUCGUCUAAAUGUUUGCUUUUAGUUUUAUCAUCGUUGCACUGCGUAAAGAUGCUAAAAAGAAAAUAGUUGAUAUAGCCACCUAAGUGCUGGUGGUGUUUCAGAGUGUAGUAGCGAUUGUUUUUUAAAGUGUUUUUUACUCGGAAAUGCAUUAAAAUAAUAUUUUUUUAUUUUUAAAAAAUUAUUUUUAACAUCAGCAUAUCAAAAUGAUCUGAAAAUACUGAAAAAAAUAUUAAUCUAAAUUAAAUAAAAAAAUAAAAAAAAAUCAAUCUCUUUUAAAAAUAUUUUUAAAAUGCAGAAACAAACAGGAUCUCUCAACCUGCUACAAAUAACUGCUGCAAUGGCCUUUCUUUAAUAUUUUACUUACACCAUUCUGCACAAUAUUUUCUUUUGUACAUCCAUGGAACCCUCUUUGCCUUCUACACAAAUUCAAAGCCCAUGCUAAAAACUACAAGGAAAUGAUCUCUACCUUUCUACAAGUUAAAGGCUUUUGGUACUUUCCGUCCUUCUUGGGAAGACCCAUCUCAGUUCAAGAACACUUCGAGCCUCAAUCCACUGAUAUAUUUGUCGUCAGCUUCCAAAAACGAAGGAAAUCUUUGGUUAAUGUUCUCUAAUAAGUACUAACACCUUUUCUCCUUCAACAGUGAAAUUUACGUGCCUUUCACACCUUUUUACGUUCGAACAUUUCAUUUGUUCUUGUGCUCUAAAUUCUAAAUUGAGUCUGUUUUUGUGAGUUCCAUUCUUCUAUUUAAAAGAUUAGAAAACGCAAGAUUGCAUCAAUGCUAAAUGCAAUUUCAAUAUCUGUGUGUGUGUCAAAUGCAUGGUGAUGUUACAUGAUGUGUUUGUUUUUACGUUUCAAAAAUAUUUUUUUAAAAUUAAAUUUUAUUUAUUUAUUUUUUAUUUUAAAUUAAUAUUUUUUAGUUUUUUCGGAUUAUUUUAAUUUACUGAUAUCAAAAUUAACUUUUUUAAAAUAAAAAAAAUAUUAUUUUAAUACAUUUCUGAGUAAAAAAUACUUUGAAAAGUAACUGCUACUACACUUCCAAAUAUACCCUUAAAAAAACAAAGUUAUGGAGUUGGAGGCUCUAAAUAUUCCUCAAAAUAUCAAGUCUUAAGGGCUCGGAGCUAUUAUCCAGUCUUAAAAUUUUUGCAUUUUAAAAAUAUUUUUAAAAAAAUGAAUAUUUUUUACUUUUUUUUAUUUUAAACUAUAUUUUUUUCUUUCUGUUUUUAUAUUGUUUUUAUGUAAAAAAUAAAUUUUAAAAAAUAUAAAAAUAUUUUUUUAAAAACAAUCACCAUACAAUAACAAAUAAAAUAUUAAUAUGAAAUAAAAUCUAAUUCUACCAGCAGACAGCUGAUAAGAAUACUAAAAAAGUGUAAAUUUUGACUUAAUUCAAUUAUUAGAAUUUGGGGCAGCGUAACAGUGUCAAAGAAAAUGUCAGAAAAGUAGGGCAAACAGUGCAAAUACCUUGGAUGAUGGUGACCAAAUAUUUGUAAUUUGAGACAUCUCGUUCUUGAAAAGAAAUAGUUAAUAGUGCCAAUAAUUUUUUUUUAUUAAUUUGAGGUGUUCAGACCAGUUUGCAUGCACCUCGACUAAUACUUACGGUUCUUGAAGUUAACGAAUAAAUAAGCCUCCAGUGGCCAUCAAUAUUAACAACUACAAGGCUCGAACUUGAGACCACAGGGGGGCAAACCCCUUGAUCCAAAACUCUUACCACUUGACCACCUACUAGAUGGUUAGUACCAAUAAUUAAUUUGCUCUCAACUUGCUACAAAUAGCUGCCAUGAUCACAUAUUCAAGAAACACUAGUUUAAGAGCUUGGGAUCAAGAGGUUUGCUCCCUCUGUAGUCUCAGGUUCAAGCCCUGUGGUUGCUCAUAUGAUGGCCACUGGAGGCUUACAUGGUCGUUAACUUCAGGGCCCGUGGGAUUAGUAGAGGUGCGUGUAAGCUGGCCCGGACACCCACGUUAAACUAAAAAAAAAAAAACACUAGUUUAUAAACCCUGAGGGGUAGCUCAACUGGUUAGAUUUUGAGUAUGUUUCCUAAUAAUCACGAGUUUGAGUUCUUUUAGGCCAACUGGAGGCUUACAUAGUUUUAAACUUCAGGACUCGUGAAAUUAGUAAAGGUACAUACAAAUUCAGUGGUGGAGCCAGAAAUUUUUAAAUGAGGAGGCAAAUUACUAACAAAUAUUUGAUAUUAUAUGCUAUACAUAUAUAUGUUAUAUAUAGAAAUGAAUUUGAAAUACAUGUGCCUCAAGUCAAGCAAAAUUAAUUUAAGAAUACUUUUAAAAUGAAAAAAACUUAUGUUAUAAUUGUUUUCUUCGAGAUUUUAUAUUUUAAAACUGCUUCAUAAUAAUUUUAUUUUUAAUUUCAUUAAAAAUAUAUUUCUCAAUAUAUACAACAAACUUUCAUUUAUCUAUUUCUAAAUCUUCCAAGUACUAGGAAAGUUGUUGACAACAAUUUUAUGCUGACAUAUGGUACAUAACAUCUAAAAUCAUAUCUUAAAAGAAUUGUCAUAAAUUGAAGUUGUUCUUACUGACUUGUUGUUUUGUACAAGUAGAUUAAAUAUAAAUAUUAAAUGUUUUUUUAAAUUUAUCUAUUAUGUCUCUAAUUUUUUUAGUUGUCUUAUACUUCAUUUUUAAUCAUUAGUAAAUUCAUUAUCAUCGUUUUUCAUAUGAAAUUCAUAACAAAACUUAUCAAUUCAUCAAAACUCAUUUCAAUUCAUAUCCAUUAGCAUAUAAUAUUACCCAUACACAUAUUAAUUCAACAAACCCAUAAAUUAUUAUAAACCCUAACAUUUUUAAUAACUAAUUUUUGGAGAUGUAGACCCAGUAUUUUUGGAGCUUCCAUAUCUAGUUGACCUAUCAGGAAGAGAUGAAGUUAACGUUUGGGAAUGCGGUGCAAACCAUGUUCCCCUAAAAUUAAAUUUUUUUUUGUUAAAAAUUAAUUUUUUGGUAUAUUUUGGAUCGUUUUGAUGCGCUGAUCUCAAAAAUAAUUUUUAAAAAAUAAAAAAACAUCAUUUUGAUGCAUUUCGGCACAAAAAAUACUUUGAAAAGCAACUGUAACCACACUCCUAUACAAGUAAAGUCUCUAACAGCACAAGUAUAAAAAAUAUAACUGCUGGGCAAACCAACUCUUUUCUCAAACCCAUCAGUUGCCUCAUGAUAUAUAUAUAUAUAUACACAUAUAUAUAUAUAUAUAUAUAUAUAUAUAUACACACACACACCAUGCAUAGAAUUCAUGGAUAAAAGAAAGGAAUUGGAUCUGAUUUGAGGUGGGGGGAUUGCCCCCUCUUGCCUUUAUGUGGCUCCGCCACUAUAUAAAUUAGUUUGGAUAUUUACAUUAAUUAAAAAAAAAAUACUGGUCUAGAAAAGCGAUCUACAAGGUGAUUAUUUAGUUGACUAAUUGAAUCUGUUUUUUAUAAAAAAAAUAUUUUAGAAGAUAAUUUUUAAUAAUUUUAGAUUUUUUUAUAUAUAAAUAUCAAAAAUAAAAUUAAAAAAAUAACAAAAUAUUAUUUUAAUAUAAUUUUAAAUAAAAAACACAUUUAAAAAAACUUAAUAGUAUACUCUCAACCAAGGUUGUCAAUUCCGUUUCGGUAGGUGUUUCGUUUUUUUAAUUGGAAUGGAAUGUUUCAGUUUCGGAGUGUUUCGGCGUGCCGUUCCGGGGUUGUACUGUUCAUAUAUAUAUAUUCAACAAACAUAAUUCAAAUUCAAGAUAAAUUAAUUAUAAAUUAUGCAAUACAAACACAAUGCCAAACAAAUAUAAUUUCAAAAUUUAAAAUAUUUCUAAAUAGUCAAGAUUAAAUAGAUCUUUACCUUAAAGUAAUUCAACUUAAACAAAAUAUCAAAAUAUUAUGAAAGUAAAAUGUUUUAACAUAAAUAUUUUAAAUAUAAAGUUAGGUCAAUGUUAUCAAGGCUAAUUGAAUCUAAAGCAUCCCUUGGUUUGCUCAAAUUUCUACAAAGUAUAAACAUGAAAAAAAAACAUGAAUAUAAACCUUAUAUAUUAGUGAUAAAUCUAAUUUUAAAAAAUUAAUAUCAUUGUUAAUGAAAAUAGUAAUAAUAAUUUUCAAUAUUAUUAUUAAUAUCAUUGUUAUUGAAAAUAGUAAUGAAAAAGAGCCUUUUAUAAUUGGGUGAUUUAAUUAAUUAAAUUGAACAAAAUUCAAUUUGAUUCAAUGGAUUUUCAAGAACGGAACGAAACAAGUGGAAUGAAACCGGAACGUUCCGGGUGGAAUUUAGCCGAAAAAUACAGAACAGACCGAGAUUUAAAAUAAAAUGAAAUUUAUUUUAUUUUUUAAAUUGGUAUGAAAUAUUUCGUUUAUUUCAUACGAAACAAAACAGAAUUGACAACUUGCUCUCAAGCACCCAAAAUAGAGGAUUCAAUUGUAUUGUGGGUUCCACACCAUUUAAAGCUUGCAAAGAAGGAUUUGAAACACAAUCACACUAAAGAUUUGCAAUGGAAUAUAAUAUAAAAUAAUACCCAAUGGCAUCAGCGGACAUGUAAUCAAUAAUAUUAAAAUACAGUAAAUUUUGAUUUAAUUCAAUUAUUGGAUUCUAGGCAGCGUGACAAUGUCAGAAAAUCUUGGAUGAUGGUGACCAAAUAUAUCAGUAAUUUGAGACAACACGUUCCCGAAAGGUAAUAGCUGAUGGUGCCAAAAAUUAAACCAGCUCUCAACUCGCUACAAAUAGCUGCCAUGGCCUUUCAUUCUACCUUAUAUUUCUUUUUUAACUUUCAUGGAAUCCUCUUUGCCUUCCUCCCAAAUCUUGGAUUCUGAUGGAAAUGCUGAGAGGAAAAAUGAAGCUAAAAAUUACAAUGAAGUGAUGUCCACCCUUCCAAAAGUUAAAGGCUUGAGGGGGGAUGAUUAUUACCUGUACCAAGGCUUUUGGUACGCUCCCUUCUUCUUGGAAAGACUCAUGUCUGUUCAAGAGCACUUCCAUCCUCAAUCCACUGAUAUAUUUGUCGCCAGUUUUCCAAAAACUGGCACAACUUGGCUUAAGGCCCUCACUUUUGCUAUUUUCACACGAUCCCGUUUAAGUGGUUCAACAACUAGUUCUUUACUUUCCAAGAUGCCACAUGACUGUGUUCCUUUUUUGAAUUAUAACCUUGCUCAAAACCCCAGUAAUCGGGACUUGACAAUUCCUCUGCUAUCUACUCAUGUUCCUUACAGUUGUUUACCUAAAUCUAUCAUUUCUUCUUGUUGCAAGAUUAUUUACAUUUGCAGGGACGCAAAGGAUGCUUUUGUUUCUUUGUGGUACUUUCAUGCCACGUUGCAAAG